GCAAACUUGGUCAUUUAGAGGAAGUAAAAGUCGUAACAAGGUUUCCGUAGGUGAACCUGCGGAAGGAUCAUUACCAAAAUUUAAGCGGCCCUGGCUUCGUGCCUUGACGCUUUAACCACCUGUGAACCAAAACCUUUUCGCUUCGGCAGCAAGGGCAGCCCGACAAAGGGUCAACCUGUCAGCCUGCCGUUAGCAUGCAGCUUUAAACCUGCCGCGCAUGUUGCGCAACAAUUCCUCUGAAAUUGGAAUUAUAAAACAAAAUCAAAACUUUCAACAACGGAUCUCUUGGUUCCCGCAUCGAUGAAGAACGCAGC
RNAcentral lists this unclassified non-coding RNA (314 nucleotides) under uncultured fungus. Its description in RNAcentral is "partial contains small subunit ribosomal RNA, internal transcribed spacer 1, and 5.8S ribosomal RNA". The stretch from base 1 to 73 matches the Rfam family "Eukaryotic small subunit ribosomal RNA", at positions 1759 to 1831 of the family's 1831-position model. Lineage: Eukaryota; Fungi. The record is from RNAcentral.